This 427-nucleotide ribosomal RNA is filed under the name uncultured bacterium. Its description in RNAcentral is "bacterial SSU rRNA". It matches the Rfam family "Bacterial small subunit ribosomal RNA", at positions 355 to 776 of the family's 1533-position model. The record is from RNAcentral.
UCUAGAGGCUUCGGCAAUGGGGGAAACCCUGACCGAGCGACGCCGCGUGUGGGAUUGAAGGCCUUCGGGUCGUAAACCACUGUCAUGAGGGAAGAAUACCCGGAUGGCGAAUCCGGGGGUGACGGUACCUCAAGAGGAAGCCCCGGCUAACUCCGUGCCAGCAGCCGCGGUAAUACGGAGGGGGCAAGCGUUGUUCGGAUUUACUGGGCGUAAAGGGUGUGUAGGCGGCUGCGUAAGUCUGGUGUGAAAUCUUCACCGCUUAACGGGAAGAGGUCACUGGAAACUGCGUAGCUCGAGAAUGGUAGAGGCAAGCGGAAUUCCUGGUGUAGCGGUGGAAUGUGUAGAUAUCAGGAAGAACACCUGUGGCGAAGGCGGCUUGCUGGGCCAUCACUGACGCUGAGACACGAAAGCGUGGGGAGCAAACGGG